CCAAGGACCUGUGCACACUGCUGCAAGACGAGCUCUGGAUAGCACAACACGGACAACUUUCCCCCGUCUUCUUUCUUUAAUUCCCUUUUGAUUUUCUCGAAGGACCUGCACCUUGGGAUUAUAUGCUUUUAGACCUAUUAAAUACUGUAUGAGUUUUAUUAUGGCAAAGCAGAAGUGCGAUUUUUGUCUAUACUGAAUAGAGCGUCUGAAAGAGGGGCAGCUGCGCUUCUUGUCUGAGACUUCAGUAAAUUGAGCUGAAGUUGUAUGUUGUUUUUAUAAGGUGAAGGACAAGUGCAAUGCGAGUAAGAGUUGUCUCUUGGGAUUGUCCCGCUCGGGUGUGAGGAGUCAUGUCGAGCUGCCAGAGUGCCUGGGGAAGAGGACGCAGUCUAAUGUGAAUAACAAGAGUCAACUUCCAGCCUGUUCAGCUUUUCUGAGUUACAAGCAAGUGCACGGAGUUUGCCUGAGCCCGCUGAGCAGCUCUCACACUGGUUUCUCUCCCCGAGGGGAUGGUUGAGGAUCCUCGGGGGCCAGGAGCGACUCUGCGGCUCCUACAGAAUAGCACCUUUUUCUUGUUUGGGGGGAAAUCUAAAUUAAAGGGAGAUGAGAUCCGCACUUUUUUACUUCCUCCUGUGGACGCCGUACCUGCUGCUCGUCACUGCUGAGGAAGUGGAGAUUCCCCAGGAGCUGAUAGAGAGACUGUCCCGCAGUGAAAUCCACAGCAUCAGCGACCUCCAGCGGCUACUGGAGAUAGACUCCGUAGGUACGGGAAACGAUGUCAUCGAGGAGCCCAAGCACCACCACAAGCACCACAACCACCAUAAGAACAACUCUCGUCACCAUGGUUACUACAACGACCUGAAGAGCUCGCAGCUCCACAGCCGACGCAAGAGGAGCAUCGUGGAGGAGGCGGUCCCGGCGGUGUGUAAGACGCGGACGGUGAUCUAUGAGAUCCCCAGGAGCCAGGUGGAUCCCACAGCUGCCAACUUCCUGAUAUGGCCGCCCUGCGUGGAAGUGAAGCGCUGCACAGGCUGCUGCAACACCAGCAACAUGCGCUGUCAUCCGUCACGAAAGCACCACCGCACAGUUAAGGUGGCCAAGGUGGAGUACGUGAGGAGGAAACCCAAGCUGAAAGAGGUCUUUGUGCGGUUAGAAGACCACCUGGAGUGUGUGUGCACAUCGCAGCACCACGUGGUGGAGCACUCAGACGCAGACACGGGCCACCGUAGGGCUAAAGGUAAAAAAAGGAAACCUAAAAAGCUAAGGCCCAACAAGGAUUUAUUGGCGACAUAAUAAACUUGCACUCAUUACCCAAAGUCCACUGGAGAGCUGUGAAGGGAACAGUGGACGUGAGGUGAGAUCAAUCAGAGCAAGGGACUUCAGUGUGGGAGGGGCUAAAGAGAAGAUGCCACCAAUAGGAGACCUGCUCUUUCCCCUCACCCAACCCCGUGCCACCAUCUUUUUAAAGACAAACUUUUCUGUAAAGACAAGAGACUGAAAAAGACAGACAUGAUGAAUUAAGAUGCCAAAGGUGCUUUUUUUUUUUUUUUUUUUUUUUUUUUUUUACCAUAACCAGUGAUGAUGACAUCCUCCAAGCUGCACCACCACAGUCAAUUGAACACUGACACUGACAAGGAAGAUGAUGCUGUGGAGCUUGGGCAGGGCUGUACAGGAUGAUGAAAGGGAUUCAUGUCGAACACUGACGAACUUCUUGCAAACAGGACACAGAAAUGGCUACUAACCAUUUGGAUCAAGCUUUGUUGGGGUGGCUGUUGUCCUAAAAAACAGCAUUGGAUGACGAAAUACUGUAAACCAACAAACACAAAGACUCAUGGGUCUGCCUCCCCUGCCCAGUGACUGUAUGCACAGUCAAUGGAAGACAGACAGAGAAAAGAAAAGAGAGAGAGAGAGAGAGAAGGCAUGAAAUAUGAAAUUGAAAAAAAAAAAAAAACACUGCAUGGAGUAUCAAACUGUAUGUCCUUUUGGAUGCUUUGUUUUGAAUCAAGAGGACAGCUCCUUCUCAGAGACCUUCGGUCGUCUCUGAUUGUGUCUAGCUGCCAUGUGCAGCUCUGACUUGAAAAGGAAGGCAUGCCGCUACUUACAAACUAUUUAUACGUGUGAACGCUUGGGAACUCUCUCUUCCAGCACAACAGAUAGAAAGAAAAAAGAAAGACUUUGCUAUGGUUUUUGGUCUGGUUCUCUGUAAGCAAUCUCAAUGUCAUUUUUUAGUUGUUGUUAUUGUCGUUGUCCAUGUUUCUUAUUAUAUUACAGUAUACCUGAUGAUGUCAAGUCUUGUAUAUGGUCUGGAUAUGUGUGUGCAAGGAGGAGAUGUGAGAUGAACGAGUCAGUACCGGAAGAUGCUUUAUUUUGUUAUGAAAUAUAUUAUGCUUACUUAUAUCCAA
Molecule: RNA transcript, 2399 nt
Organism: Myripristis murdjan (pinecone soldierfish)
Lineage: Eukaryota; Metazoa; Chordata; Actinopteri; Holocentriformes; Holocentridae
Gene: pdgfab
Gene name: platelet-derived growth factor alpha polypeptide b
Exons: 7
Source: RefSeq, a predicted model, not a curated record